AGCAUCACUAUCCUUUGACAAACUGUAAUUAGUAAUCAGUUAGUCAAGGAGUUGAUUGCUGG
RNAcentral lists this microRNA precursor (62 nucleotides) under Panagrellus redivivus. Its description in RNAcentral is "microRNA prd-mir-7908 precursor". The record is from miRBase by way of RNAcentral. Lineage: Eukaryota; Metazoa; Nematoda; Chromadorea; Rhabditida; Panagrolaimidae.